Molecule: ribosomal RNA, 291 nt
Filed under: uncultured eukaryote
Lineage: Eukaryota
Description: partial 18S ribosomal RNA
Rfam family: Eukaryotic small subunit ribosomal RNA
Source: RNAcentral
GGUUGAUCCUGCCAGUUGUCACAUGCUUGUCUCAAAGAUUAAGCCAUGCAUGUCUAAGUACACACUCUAGCAAAGUGAAACCGCGAAUGGCUCAUUAAAUCAGUUAUGGUUUAUUAGAUCGUGCAAUCCUAAUUGGAUACCUGUGGUAAUUCUAGAGCUAAUACAUGCAACUGGCCCUAACUUUACGGAAGGGCGCUUUUAUUAGAUCAAAAUCAAUCAGGAGCAAUCCUGUUUUUGUGAUGACUCUGGAUAACUUUGUGCCGACCGCAUGGCCUUGCGCCGGCGGCGUAU